Long non-coding RNA from Hemicordylus capensis (graceful crag lizard), 712 nucleotides. RefSeq lists it as uncharacterized. The transcript is spliced from 3 exons. Lineage: Eukaryota; Metazoa; Chordata; Lepidosauria; Squamata; Cordylidae. The record is from RefSeq and is a predicted model, not a curated record.
AGAGUGUGCUUUGCAGAGUGGUACAUUCAUGGAUGGCCGCCCUACAUUCACAUCUCUCUAUUGUUUCCAGGCCUGCUGCUGAUAGAAAAGGUGAGAAGAUCCACACAACAAGAUUGUGACACCCCUUGGUCUAGUGUGUCUGUGUGCAAAAGUGUCUCCUUUCAAGACCUGCUUAGACGUAUUUUGAUUAAUUGAUCCAUUCCCUUCACAGCUGGGAGCCAGGUGGCUAGAUCCCGUUGCUUAGGAUGCUAAAUUCAGGGUCUCACAGAAGGAUGGGGAAGAAAAACACCCUGUAUAUUAUUACACCACAAAAAAUUGCAGGCUCGAUUUUUUAUAUUUAAUUGAUUUCUGAUUAUGGACAUAUCCAUUCUAUUCUGGUUCGAGUGAUUACAAGUUUUCCAGUGCGGAUUAAGUAUGAUUGUCAGGCCUGGCACACACACUCUGUCCCCCACCCCCUUCCAAAACUCAGCGAGGGUUGUGUCUUCCAUACUUGGAUUCAGUUCUGUCUUCACAUUAAUUUAAUGCAGGGGAGACAGCAAAAGCAUAGUCCACAGGUUCCCAACUGACAUUAUUUGGUAUAAACUGCAGGGGGCUGCUUACAACCCCCAGAAUUACGACGUUCCAUGUUUGGGGCUAUAAUUUCUUGUAUCAUUUUAAUGGUCAUUUUACAAACUCCAUCAAUUCUUUUUAACAGCUCUGAGUCCCCAUAGGA